GUUAAUGUGACAUAGUGGUUUGUGCAUUGGAUUAUGACUCUGGAGAACAGGGUUCAAAUCUCAGCUUGGUCA
Molecule: non-coding RNA, 72 nt
Organism: Phrynosoma platyrhinos (Desert horned lizard)
Lineage: Eukaryota; Metazoa; Chordata; Lepidosauria; Squamata; Phrynosomatidae
Source: the annotation of a GenBank genome assembly